UACCAGCACCCCGAGUGGUCGGGACGUUUUAUUGGGCCUAAAGCAUCCGUAGCCGGUUCUACAAGUCUUCCGUUAAAUCCAGCUGCUUAACAGAUGGGCUGCGGAAGAUACUAUGGAGCUAGGAGGCGGGAGAGGCAAGCGGUACUCGAUGGGUAGGGGUAAAAUCCGUUGAUCCAUUGAAGACCACCAGUGGCGAAGGCGGCUUGCCAGAACGCGCUCGACGGUGAGGGAUGAAAGCUGGGGGAGCAAACAGG
RNAcentral lists this ribosomal RNA (254 nucleotides) under uncultured bacterium. Its description in RNAcentral is "partial 16S ribosomal RNA". It matches the Rfam family "Archaeal small subunit ribosomal RNA", at positions 474 to 727 of the family's 1478-position model. The record is from RNAcentral.